UCAAAAUUCAUUUUUAACCUAGAAGAUAACCUAAAAGCAAGCCGUCGCACCCAGCAAGCCGUCGCACUCAUCACUGCCCAUCGCCAAGACCGUCACACCACACAGCUCGCCGCCAUGUUCAUCUAACCCUCACACCCAGCCCUUCAUCUAACCCUCGCACCCAUCCCUCUCUCUGUCGCACCCAACCCUGCACUAUCAACGAUUUCUCGCACCCAGCUGUUUGUCGACGGUCUCUCGUACCCAACCCUCGCACCAUUGACGCAACCCUCGUUAGAUUCGGAACCCUCCAUCGGCGCUGCUCCGUCCACGCACCAUCAGUGGUCUCUGUCUCGGCGUGCCCUCCUACUCCCUCAGUGGUCUCUGUCUCGCAAACCCUCGUUGGAUUUGGAACCUCAAUCGUUGCUCACUCUAUUUCGUAAACCCUCAAUCGCCGCUCCUCCCUCCGUGGUUCAGCACCCGUCGCGUUGCUGAAUCUCGUUUGGUAGAGAAUACCUCUAGAUUUUUUGCAAGGUGACAAAUUUAGAGCCGCAGCAGAUAAUUACAUUAGGCCUCUCCUAACUAAGGGAGCUCCAUCUCUUUUUCCUGAUCUUUCGUCUUUGUAUAAUCACCCUGGGAAGGUCAGAUUUAUCCCUUACAAGAAUCAUUUGAGUCUGCUAAGGCAGUUUCAGUGGGUGCAUCAAAAGGUGUUCAAAGGUUGGGAAAUCAACUGCUAAUGGUGUUAGAAAACACGAAAAUAAAGCUGCAUCUUCGGUAUGUUUGAGUUUGUGUUGGUUGAUUGCUUUUAAGAUUUGUUUGACUUCCUAACUACUUGAUUCAUCAUCUUACAAAGUACAAGUCUAUUUUUUCCCCUACUCUAGGAGUUUGUUUUAAACAUGUCAUAAAUGUAGAAUCAUGUAAUAUUUGCUAAGGUGAAACUUUGAGCACUUUUGACAUGACUACUUUGAGCAUUGACUUCUCAACUAUUUUGUAGAACUCUAUUCUGUUUGAAACAAACAAUUUAUUAUUUUUCUUCUUGUUCUAAUUGCUAGGAUUGUCGUAUUAGUUGAUCAGUAAGAUGCUGGAACCAGUUCAAUUUUGUGUUGGCACUUCGUCUCUAGUAGUACUAGGGCCAGGUGCACUGAUUUUAGACAUCUCAGUUAGUAGUUGAGCUAAUUUUUGUAUGUGAAGUGUCUAACAUCUUACUUAAAUCAAUGGAAUAUAUUUUUGUUAUAUUUUCUCUAAUGCAGCUGGAUAUAGAAGUCAGGGUGAAGUACAGGUCAAUAUUGCUCGGCCUAGCAUACUUCAGAUGCAGCCCUUACCAUAUAACAUUAGAAAAGGGGAACUUCUGUUAUUUGAAAUCAUGAAUUCCUUCUUGUUCUCUGUCUUUUCCUUUAAAGAUGUAUUGUUUCAUCUUUAUUACAGUAUUAAAUAGAAUUUUCAAUCUACAUUAUCUAUUUAUUAAAUAGAUGUCUCAAUGUCGCUUAUUGGUCACAUCUGCGGAUCAACUUAUCUGGAUAUAACUUAGUUUGCUGUGACACUGAUUUGAGGUUGGUUGCUUGCUUUCUAGGCAGAAGUCAUAUUUUUGGGGCAGCUAUCACAUCCGAAUCUAGUCAAAUUAAUUGGAUACUGCUGUGAAGAUGAACAUAGGGUGCUAAUUUAUGAGUUUAUGGCCCGUGAAGUGUCGGAAACAAUUUGUUCUCCAAAUGAAGAUUGCAUUUGGAGCUGCAAAGGGACUUACAUUUCUUCACGAGGCAGAGAAACCUGUCAUCUAUCGUGAUUUCAAAACAUCAAAUAUUUUAUUGGACCUGGACUAUAAUGCAAAACUUUCUGACUUUGGCCUUGCUAAAGAUGGGCCAGUUGGAGAUGAAUCCCAUGUUUCGACUCGCAUAAUGGGAGACAUUCAAGGAUGUGUACCAUGCUUUAAAUGAAAUAAUAUUUUUUUCUCAUGUUUUUAGGAUUUUGUCCUAGUUUUUAGAGUGGAAGUUGAGGCUAUUGAUCAUGUGCGGCACAAGAACUUAGUCAGACUUCUAGUUUAUUGCAUUGAAGGCAUUCACAGGUUGUUAGUUUAUGAGUAUGUUAACAACAGCAAUUUAGAGCAAUGGCUUCAUGGAGCCAUGCGGCAGUAUGGUUUUCUCACUUGGGAUGCUCGGAUUAAAAUUCUUCUUGGAACAGCUAAAGCGUUGGCUUACUUGCACGAGGCAAUCGAACCAAAAGCAGUACAUCGAGAAAUUAAGUCAAGCAAUAUUUGAUGCAUGAGUUACACUGUCACAAAAUGGUUACAUUUUUGCAAAAUGUCAGAAAAUUCAAUGAUGCACAUACAUAUUUUCUUGGAAAAUUGUAAUGGAAACCUGUGUUUUAUGAACGACUAAUAUUCCCAUUCUAUUUACUUCUAUUGUAAAUCAAUAAAAAAUCAAUUCUUAUGCCUUCUAAUU
Molecule: RNA transcript, 2411 nt
Organism: Arachis stenosperma
Lineage: Eukaryota; Viridiplantae; Streptophyta; Magnoliopsida; Fabales; Fabaceae
Gene name: probable serine/threonine-protein kinase PBL16
Exons: 7
Source: RefSeq, a predicted model, not a curated record